RNAcentral lists this ribosomal RNA (301 nucleotides) under uncultured bacterium. RNAcentral's name for it is "partial 16S ribosomal RNA". It matches the Rfam family "Bacterial small subunit ribosomal RNA", at positions 509 to 807 of the family's 1533-position model. The record is from RNAcentral.
CAGCAGCCACGGUAAUACGUAGGUGGCAAGCGUUAUCCGGAAUUAUUGGGCGUAAAGCGCGCGUAGGCGGUUUUUUAAGUCUGAUGUGAAAGCCCACGGCUCAACCGUGGAGGGUCAUUGGAAACUGGAAAACUUGAGUGCAGAAGAGGAAAGUGGGAUUCCAUGUGUAGCGGUGAAAUGCGCAGAGAUAUGGAGGAACGCCAGUGGCGAAGGCGACUUUCUGGUCUGUAACUGACGCUGAUGUGCGAAAGCGUGGGGAUCAAACAGGAUUAGAUACCCCCGUAGUCCCUGUCUCUUAUAC